CUCAGCCCUCGGGAGGCGAAGGACCCCGAGUAGCUGUUACAGGCUAGUUUUAAAGGCAAAAACCACAAAGCAGGUGGGGUUGCUUAUCACUGGAAUCCAUAUGGAUAUUAGGACAUCUGGCCUGGGGGAACUUCUUGUGAGGACAUCUGAUAUCUGUAAAUUUGUAUGUAACUAUUCUGGGAAUUAGGUGGAACUCUUGAGGUUAGCAGUUCCAAGAACUGGGAGAAGCCUCUGGGGUCAGAAGUUUAGGUUUUACAGUUUCUCACUUUAUCUAGCUCACUCCAGGUAAAAUCAGACAGUUCACGCCUCCUCCUACUGAAAUACCUCCAUGGUCUCACUGCCUCCUCCACCCCACCUGUCUCAU
This is a long non-coding RNA of Acomys russatus (golden spiny mouse), 364 nucleotides long. RefSeq lists it as uncharacterized. The transcript has 3 exons. NCBI's taxonomy places the organism in Eukaryota, Metazoa, Chordata, Mammalia, Rodentia, Muridae. The record is from RefSeq and is a predicted model, not a curated record.